GACGGACGGGAGGGGAGGAGAGACGGAGGGGAGGGGAGGAGAGACGGAGGAGAGGGGAGAAGAGACAUGUGAUACAGACCCGGACACGAGAAACACAGACAUGAACGAGAUCUAGCCAGAGACUAGGUAGUGAGUCUACAGAUACUAUCCACAAAGAGGCUAUUGACAUGGACAGUGCAUCGAGCCUGAGGUUGGAGCCUGCUGGGCUAUAGGAGACAUGGAGAGGGUAGAGACAGAGGGACCACACACAGGACUGGGAGACAUGGAGAGAGGAGAGACAGAGACAGGACAUCCCAACACUAUAGAGAGUAGAAACACAGAGAGACAGCAUAGAGUCACAGAAAAGAGAGAAACAGAGACUGAGACUGGAUGUGGUGACUAUCAAUGUAGAAGCUAACUCCCAAGAUGCUAACUGUAAGGAUAGAAGACAGAUCAAUGCAGAUAGCCAUGAAACAUAUUCGGAUGUAAUGGAGACCGAGACACCAGUCACUCAAACCCAGACAAGAAUCUCACAGAGGCUACUCACACAGACCAAGACACUGACAGUACAGACACAAGCGUAUGUCAAGCAGACGUUGAACACACACAUAAUGACUAUACAACAACAAGCAGUGUAUUUGUAGACACUACAAUAACAGAGGAAACUGACAGUACAGACAGAAUACAUUAUGACGCUAACACCACAGAGACUAUGCCAACAGACACAUGCAUCAAACAUAGCGACUCAACAACCACAGACAGAGAUAAAGACACACCCUACAGACAGCAGUGCCACACACACAGAUCCUCUCCAAGACAGACACAGAGGUAACCCAUGGAGACAGCCCUACAUACAGCAGUCCCACAGACACAGAUCCUCUCCAAGACAGACACAGAGGUAACCCAUGGAGACAGCCCUACAUACAGCAGUCCCACAGACACAGAUCCUCUCCAAGACAGACACAGAGGUAACCCAUGGAGACAGCCCUACAUACAGCAGUCCCACAGACACAGAUCCUCUCCAAGACAGACACAGAGGUAACCCAUGGAGACAGCCCUACAUACAGCAGUCCCACAGACACAGAUCCUCUCCAAGACAGACACAGAGGUAACCCAUGGAGACAGCCCUACAGACAGCAGUGCCACAGACACAGAUCCUCUCCAAGACAGACACAGAGGUAACCCAUGGAGACAGCCCGACAGACAGCAGUCUCACAGACACAGAUCCUCUCCAAGACAGAGUCAGAGGUAACCCAUGGAGACAGCCCUACAGACAGCAGUGCCACAGACACAAAUCCUCUCCAAGACAGACACAGAGGUAACCCAUGGAGACAGCCCUACAGACAGCAGUCCCACAGACACAGAUCCUCUCCAAGACAGAGUCAGAGGUAACCCAUGGAGACAGCCCUACAUACAGCAGUCCCACAGACACAGAUCCUCUCCAAGACAGACACAGAGGUAACCCAUGGAGACAGCCCUACAUACAGCAGUCCCACAGACACAGAUCCUCUCCAAGACAGAGUCAGAGGUAACCCAUGGAGACAGCCCUACAGACAGCAGUGCCACAGACACAGAGGUAACCCAUGGAGACAGCCCUACAGACAGCAGUCCCACAGACACAGCGGUAACCCAUGGAGACAGCCCUACAGACAGCAGUCCCACUGACACAGAGGUAACCCAUGGAGACAGCCCUACAGACACAGGUACAGACACUGAUAUCGAUUGUUCAGACAUUAUAAACAUUAUAAAGACAGACAGACAUCGUUCAGCCACAGACUAACCAGGAUCAUGAUAGAUUUGUUCACACCCUCACAGAUACUCUCCAUAAAGAUAGCAUCACUCCUACAGCUAUUUAGACUGACAAAUAUGUCGACCAUCUUUACUAUGUCUAGCUUAGUUUUUUUCAUUAAUAUUGUCUGUGUGUAAUUAUGAAGAGCAAUUUUUCUGUUGUUUAUUUACUCUGUAUAUUAGAGGUUUAUAAAGCUUUGUAAAUAUGUCAUUUUUAUAACUGAAUUAAAGUUAUGUAUGACUCAA
This is a long non-coding RNA of Oncorhynchus keta (chum salmon), 2013 nucleotides long. RefSeq lists it as uncharacterized. NCBI's taxonomy places the organism in Eukaryota, Metazoa, Chordata, Actinopteri, Salmoniformes, Salmonidae. The record is from RefSeq and is a predicted model, not a curated record. The transcript is spliced from 2 exons.